Molecule: unclassified non-coding RNA, 164 nt
Filed under: uncultured fungus
Lineage: Eukaryota; Fungi
Description: sequence contains ITS1, 5.8S rRNA gene
Source: RNAcentral
CCGAGCGAGGGCCCCGGCUCGACCUCCCACCCUUUGAAUUAACCAACUUCUGUUGCCUCGGGGGCGACCCGGUCGCGUCGGAUUCCCGACGUCGGCGUCGGGGCCCCCGACGGACCCCCUUCUCACGCUGCAUCUUUGCGUCGGGUUGAUCAGAAAAUCAAUCA